This is a non-coding RNA of Phoenix dactylifera (date palm), 1270 nucleotides long. The record is from RefSeq and is a predicted model, not a curated record. NCBI's taxonomy places the organism in Eukaryota, Viridiplantae, Streptophyta, Magnoliopsida, Arecales, Arecaceae.
AAGAAGAGCUCGGCGUCUGCGAGAGCAACGGAGGAAGUGGGAGACGCUCGGAACGUGGGAAGUGGGAAGGCAGGCAUGCAAGCUCGGCUCGACGUGGGAGACGCGGAACGAGGCGAAGAGACGAGCCCCGAAGCCACGUGUGUGGGGUACGACGAGGUGGACGUGGGACGAGGUAAGGGGGAGUUGAGCUCCGAAGCUCAGGCCGUGGGGUACGGGAGUGGAUGAGUGAUGGUGAGGAGUGAAGAGUGAUGGUCCGGGUUUCAUGGGAAAAGGGAGGAAGUAUUUAAUGUGGUGUAUGCUUUGGGAUAUGGGACGUGAAUUGAGUGAUACUUUGUAUGGGUCUUCUCUCACCCAAAAGAGAGUGUGUUAUUUUCAUUGCACUGGUCUAGCUCUCACCGUAAGACGAGCUGAAAAAUAUAUCAUUCCGUUUCUCCCUUUUGUUCCUACUUGGCUCGACUUCAUCCUUCUCUCUUGUUCACCUUUCCUGCUUCUGAUCGGGACCUAUCACAAUCAGCAAUGAGCGCAGUCAAUCAAAAUAUUUUUCAGGCAUGUGUCCAAAUUGAAAGCAAUGCCAAAGAUUGAAGGGAAGAACCGAUCUCAAAUUGCAAUUAGAGUGCGGAGGGCUUGCUUAAGACCUUUACAUGGAGGCUCGGAAAUGAACUUGCUCCGACCCAUGUGCCCACGCCCAAGUCUGGUCCGAGCCCAGGCCUUCUCUUACAUGACAAACCUAUUAAAAAAAUUAUGCUCCCGAGGAGACGGGAGGGCGACGAAGAAAAAGAGAAAUAGCAGCCCGUAACACGAAGGUGAGUAUUGCAGUGAAAUACGAGGUUGACACUAAGAUCCUCCAUGUUCAUCUUUAGAUCCUAGGUUGUAAUUGGUAUGCCCGGACAUGGAGGAAAGGUGCGUGUGCUAUUUCGAGUGCCCCUUAGCUGCUGAGGUAUUGGAUCUUGCAAAUAUCUUCGCAUGUCGCAGCACUCAAGGUCACUUGAUAGGAGCAGGCUUGAUCUGUCAUAUUGGGCAUCAUCGAUGGCUGGCCCAAAAUGAGUGUUUAACCAAAGCACUUUCCAGCGGUUCAAAUUCCAUGUCAAGCUCAAUACUCCGUUGCCGAAUUCAUGGUUGCAUCUCACUAGGAUAAUCUCUCACCACUUGGGAAAAUUGUUGAAGAUAUUGAUGAUGUUGCAUUGUCCUGAUUGUCGUAUUUGUGGCAAAUUCAUUUUUCUUUGACGGAUACAGAUAUGGAUACGGAUAUUAGUCAAAAUUUCAAAUUUCU